Molecule: long non-coding RNA, 305 nt
Organism: Eriocheir sinensis (Chinese mitten crab)
Lineage: Eukaryota; Metazoa; Arthropoda; Malacostraca; Decapoda; Varunidae
Exons: 3
Source: RefSeq, a predicted model, not a curated record
CCUUCGGAGGGCAUGAUUAAGCAGCGGGAGACUGGCAUCUAUACCAACGACUUCCUGGAGUUUAUCGGCAGCGGACACUCCACCGUGCCCAAAGACACAUACGACCUGGUGGUCACCUCGGGCGGUAUGGGCGAAGGUCACAUCUCACACAGUGGCCUCGACGACGUUGUGCGCGUCGCAAAGAACGGAGGCUUCGUGAUCAUCGUGAUGCGCCAUGAGUUCCUACAGACCGUGCCUUCCUACAAGGACAAGCUGGAGCCUUACAUGGACCAGCUGGAGGCGGACGGGAAGUGGAAGAAGGUAGG